RNAcentral lists this ribosomal RNA (253 nucleotides) under uncultured bacterium. RNAcentral describes it as "partial 16S ribosomal RNA". It matches the Rfam family "Bacterial small subunit ribosomal RNA", at positions 524 to 776 of the family's 1533-position model. The record is from RNAcentral.
UACGAGGGGGGCUAGCGUUGCUCGGAAUCACUGGGCGUAAAGGGUGCGUAGGCGGGUCUUUAAGUCAGGGGUGAAAUCCUGGAGCUCAACUCCAGAACUGCCUUCGAUACUGGGAGUCUUGAGUUCGGGAGAGGUGAGUGGAACUGCGAGUGUAGAGGUGAAAUUCGUAGAUAUUCGCAAGAACACCAGUGGCGAAGGCGGCUCACUGGCCCGAUACUGACGCUGAGGUGCGAAAGCGUGGGGAGCAAACAGG